GAUGAACGCUAGCUACAGGCUUAACACAUGCAAGUCGAGGGGAAACGGCAUUUAGUGCUUGCACUGAAUGGACGUCGACCGGCGCACGGGUGAGUAACGCGUAUCCAACCUACCCAUUACUGUGGGAUAACCUGCCGAAAGGCAGACUAAUACCGCAUAGUCUUCGAUGACGGCAUCAGAUUUGAAGUAAAGAUUUAUCGGUAAUGGAUGGGGAUGCGUCUGAUUAGCUUGUUGGCGGGGUAACGGCCCACCAAGGCAACGAUCAGUAGGGGUUCUGAGAGGAAGGUCCCCCACAUUGGAACUGAGACACGGUCCAAACUCCUACGGGAGGCAGCAGUGAGGAAUAUUGGUCAAUGGGCGAGAGCCUGAACCAGCCAAGUAGCGUGCAGGACGACGGCCCUAUGGGUUGUAAACUGCUUUUGUAUGGGGAUAAAGUCAAUCACGUGUGAUUGUUUGCAGGUACCAUACGAAUAAGGACCGGCUAAUUCCGUGCCAGCAGCCGCGGUAAUACGGAAGGUUCGGGCGUUAUCCGGAUUUAUUGGGUUUAAAGGGAGCGUAGGCCGGAGAUUAAGUGUGCUGUGAAAUGUAGACGCUCAACGUCUGACUUGCAGCGCAUACUGGUUUCCUUGAGUACGCACAACGUUGGCGGAAUUCGUCGUGUAGCGGUGAGAUGCUUAGAUAUGACCAAGAACUCCGAUUGCGAAAGGCAGCUGACGGGAGCGCCACUGACGCUUAAGCUCGAAGGUGCGGGUAUCGAACAG
RNAcentral lists this ribosomal RNA (761 nucleotides) under Prevotella melaninogenica. RNAcentral describes it as "bacterial SSU rRNA". It matches the Rfam family "Bacterial small subunit ribosomal RNA", at positions 28 to 775 of the family's 1533-position model. Lineage: Bacteria; Pseudomonadati; Bacteroidota; Bacteroidia; Bacteroidales; Prevotellaceae. The record is from RNAcentral.